CCCCUAGAUGUUCUGGGCCGCACGCGCGCUACACUGAACAGUGCAACAAGUUUUGUCCUUGGCUGAUAGGCCUGGGUAAUCUUUGAACGUGAAUCGUGAUGGGGAUAGAUGAUUGCAAUUAUUCAUCUUCAACGAGGAAUUCCUAGUAAACGCAAGUCAUCAGCUUGCAUUGAUUACGUCCCUGCCCUUUGUACACACCGCCCGUCGCACCUACCGAUUGAAUGGUCCGGUGAAAUCUUCGGAUCUGAGAGAUGUCUGAUUAAUUUCGGACGCCUUUUGGAAAAGUUGUUUAAACCUUACCAUUUAGAGGAAGGUGAAGUCGUAACA
Molecule: ribosomal RNA, 327 nt
Filed under: uncultured eukaryote
Lineage: Eukaryota
Description: partial 18S ribosomal RNA
Rfam family: Eukaryotic small subunit ribosomal RNA
Source: RNAcentral